GCUGGGCAUGGUGGCACACACCUGUAAUCCAAGCUACUUGGGAGGCUGAGGCAGGUGGAUCACCAGGGCAAUUUAGUGAAACCUUGUCUCAA
This 92-nucleotide small RNA is filed under the name Marmota monax (woodchuck). Lineage: Eukaryota; Metazoa; Chordata; Mammalia; Rodentia; Sciuridae. The record is from RNAcentral.